RNAcentral lists this ribosomal RNA (253 nucleotides) under Dorea longicatena. Its description in RNAcentral is "partial 16S ribosomal RNA". It matches the Rfam family "Bacterial small subunit ribosomal RNA", at positions 524 to 776 of the family's 1533-position model. The record is from RNAcentral. Lineage: Bacteria; Bacillati; Bacillota; Clostridia; Lachnospirales; Lachnospiraceae.
UACGUAGGAGGCAAGCGUUAUCCGGAUUUACUGGGUGUAAAGGGAGCGUAGACGGCACGGCAAGCCAGAUGUGAAAGCCCGGGGCUCAACCCCGGGACUGCAUUUGGAACUGCUGAGCUAGAGUGUCGGAGAGGCAAGUGGAAUUCCUAGUGUAGCGGUGAAAUGCGUAGAUAUUAGGAGGAACACCAGUGGCGAAGGCGGCUUGCUGGACGAUGACUGACGUUGAGGCUCGAAAGCGUGGGGAGCAAACAGG